Bubalus bubalis (water buffalo) is the source of this 405-nucleotide long non-coding RNA. RefSeq lists it as uncharacterized. The record is from RefSeq and is a predicted model, not a curated record. Lineage: Eukaryota; Metazoa; Chordata; Mammalia; Artiodactyla; Bovidae. The transcript is spliced from 4 exons.
CUCUUGGAUUGUCCAGCAGAUUCUUUACCACUGCAUCACCUGGGAAGUGCUGGACUGCAUGAAAGAUGACCUAUGACUUAUUUAGAAACAUCUGGAUAUCUUGAGGCAUCUUCUAAGAACUCUCUCCUUAUUAAAGGACUCAAAUAUAUACAAGUGCUUGGGAAAUGCCUAAAUCCUUUUGCCCAGUGUGGGGAAACAUCUCUAUUUCAUCUGGUGUACUGCAAAGUUUGAUAGAACUGGAUCUAAACACGGUGCUUCCGUGGCUGAUUUCCACGUUUAACGCACAGAGGAAACGCAGAAAUGACAACCACCUUCACGUGUGCACCUGUGCUUUAAUAAUCCUGACUACUCUCGGCAUUGAUAGAGUAUGAGCUGCAAAGUUCCUAAGAGGACCUGACCUCACUU